UACGAAGGGGGCUAGCGUUGUUCGGAAUUACUGGGCGUAAAGCGCACGUAGGCGGCUUUGUAAGUUAGAGGUGAAAGCCCGGGGCUCAACUCCGGAACUGCCUUUAAGACUGCAUCGCUAGAAUUGUGGAGAGGUGAGUGGAAUUCCGAGUGUAGAGGUGAAAUUCGUAGAUAUUCGGAAGAACACCAGUGGCGAAGGCGACUCACUGGACACAUAUUGACGCUGAGGUGCGAAAGCGUGGGGAGCAAACAGG
This 253-nucleotide ribosomal RNA is filed under the name uncultured bacterium. RNAcentral's name for it is "partial 16S ribosomal RNA". It matches the Rfam family "Bacterial small subunit ribosomal RNA", at positions 524 to 776 of the family's 1533-position model. The record is from RNAcentral.